CCUACGGGAGGCAGCAGUGGGGAAUCUUGCGCAAUGGGCGAAAGCCUGACGCAGCAACGCCGCGUGGGGGAUGAAGGCCUUCGGGUUGUAAACCUCUUUCGCCAGGGACGAAGGGUGAUACUGACGGUACCUGGAGAAGAAGCACCGGCUAACUACGUGCCAGCAGCCGCGGUAAU
RNAcentral lists this ribosomal RNA (176 nucleotides) under uncultured Saccharopolyspora sp. RNAcentral's name for it is "partial 16S ribosomal RNA". It matches the Rfam family "Bacterial small subunit ribosomal RNA", at positions 338 to 524 of the family's 1533-position model. Lineage: Bacteria; Bacillati; Actinomycetota; Actinomycetes; Pseudonocardiales; Pseudonocardiaceae. The record is from RNAcentral. RNAcentral also lists the same sequence under 1 other name.